Molecule: long non-coding RNA, 1616 nt
Organism: Panthera uncia (snow leopard)
Lineage: Eukaryota; Metazoa; Chordata; Mammalia; Carnivora; Felidae
Exons: 5
Source: RefSeq, a predicted model, not a curated record
CCAAGGGAGUUCAGGAACCACACCCGCUGACCCGACACCACGCUUGGCCGCUUGGCCCCUCCCCACAGGGGGCGGCCCCAGAUCGGGCCCCGCCCCUGGCGCUCGCGGCCGCGUCCCUGGCAGCCCCGGCGGCCGUUUCCUGCCUGCGUCGCUGGGCGGGCGGCCGGCCCAUCUGGCGGCCCCCAAGAGGCGGCGCGGGGAGGCGGCCCAGACUCGCUGGAGCCAGGCGCCGGCCCGCGCCCCCCGCCCGCCCGGAGAGCCCAGGUGUGGCCGCGGCGGGGGUGGGGGUGGUGCCUUCCUUCCCGCUCGGCCCUUCCUGACGCACCCGCGGGCAGGAUGCGUCCGCCUCCCAAGACCCGGCCUGGAGUCGCGGAGGGAAUCCCAGCGGUGGGAAAGCCGGCGGGGGUCGGAGCACCCCUCCCCAGUAUCCACUCCUUGUGAGACCCCGGCAUCCGAAAGUUGGACAUUACUGCCCAGCCCUCCAUGACCACCAAUGCUCCCAAGGGCCUGAAGACCCCGUGAGACGUGACCCCGCUUCCUUCUCCAGUGUACCUGACCUGCCCUACUGUGAUAGGAAGGAGGACCUGAUUUUGGUCCUCCUUGUCACCUCCAGCCACAGGACCUCUGCACCGGCAGUUUCUGCUGCCUGCGAUGCUCUUCCCACCUUUGCCUAGACUCCUCCUCCUUGGACCUCUGCUCAGUUUUAUUUCUCCGGGGAAGCCUUCCCUGGCACGGAGCCAGGCCCCCUUGUUAUCCACUCUCAAGGCCCCCUGCCAUGCCCUGCAGCAUUCUCUGGCAAUGUGGAGUGGAACACUGCUAUAUCAUUGCAGACUUCAGCCUCUCUGCUGCUAGGCUGUGAACUUCAUGAGGGCUGGGUCCACGGCUGUCUUCGUCACUGCUCUAUUCCUGGCAUUUCAGGAGGAGGCCUGAUGAAGAGACUGAGGAUCAGAGGAGGGAAAGGACUGCCCUAAUCACACAGCUGGCCAGGAUGUGGCUCCAGGUGCCUCUGUCUCUAAGUCACCAGCACCAGGCUGGGCAAGUGUCCCUGCACAGAGGACCACCUCUCCAGCCAGUAUGGGAGCUCCCAACCGGAUCCUCGAGUCUAGCCCAGGCAGCAGGCUAGGCUGCCACCUGGUGGCCUCUGGGGGAAUGGCUCCGGGCUUGGAAUCUGGGCUGGGAGCAGAGACCUCCCAGACGACUCUGAGUUCGUCCCCCAGGCCAGGCCCAGUCACUCUUGGAGACCUUCUUGUCAGGAAAUCAAGCAGGACUUCUGCAACCUGCCCACAGUCCUGCUUUGAACAGAUGGGGGAGUCUGGACUUCCUCCCCCCUGAGUCCCCUUGGCCUUCAUUUCACCCAGCCUCUCCCACUGCCGGGGGUUCAGAGCCUGGGCUUGGUUUCCACAUGUCACAAUCUGGGAUCCUUGCUCUAGCACAUGCUUGCCAUGUGGCACCUGACUUCCAAUUCCCUUACCUGCUCGUGAGGACCCUCGGGAAGAACUGAAUGGAGACUGGUGUACGGGAAGGGCCCUGCUUUCCAGUACUCAGCAAGCCCAUCUGCUGGCGGUCUCCUCCUUGUUGCCCCCUCCUCAGGUCUCAAUAAAAGCUCUCAGCCCUCA